Cebus imitator (Panamanian white-faced capuchin) is the source of this 6855-nucleotide long non-coding RNA. RefSeq lists it as uncharacterized. NCBI's taxonomy places the organism in Eukaryota, Metazoa, Chordata, Mammalia, Primates, Cebidae. The record is from RefSeq and is a predicted model, not a curated record. The transcript has 6 exons.
CCGGGCGGGAAGGCGGCGGCCGGAUGCGGGCCGGGCGGGAAGGCGGCGGCCGGAUGCGGGCCGGGCGGGAAGGCGGCCGCUGACGUGCGCUGUGAGCCCCGAGACCCGGAAGAGGCUCCUGGCCCGACGGCCUGGCCUCGGCACCCACAGGCUGCCACGUUUUGACAGAGACGGCCCCAAAGGCCGGGCUGCGGCCAGGUGGAUUCCUCAUGGUCAAGAAGGAAAAUACAUUUGAUGUUGUGUUCACUCCGGCUACGGCAUCCUGAAAGGAAAAUAAAAGCCCAGGACCCGCAUCGACUCUGCUGAGGAAGGAAUGAAGCUGGAAGCUGAGCCCUGCAAGCAGCCACCUUUCCUUUUGCUCCUAAGCAGAGAGUGACAGAUAGAAGGCAGCACGUCUCCACAGGCUGCUCUAUGUCCACCUGUCCCAUGGGAAGAGCAGAGUUGCGGAGCAGGAGAUGAAUGCAUGGUUGACGGUUCUGCUGCCUGUCCUUUCCUCUUGCCAAAUGUGGAUGAACACACCCUCCCUCUUUCCCCUCUAGCCCCACUUUCCCCUUCAAAUAUCGACACCUUCAGCAUCAUCUUUGGAGAAAGGUACACACCAUGGACUGUUUUUGUGAUUCUGUGUUAUUUUUCUCCUGAGCGUGUGCUGAACACUGGCAAAAAAAACUUCUAAAUUGAUUGAGACCCAUCGGCAAUACUUUUUGGUUUACGACAGGAGUUGGGGUGAGACUCCACCACAUUUGCACCAUGCAGAGCUGGAAGCGGGAGGAAAGACUGAAUCUUGCCUGGAGGCUUUGGCCCUGAAGGUUCAAUUCUGGAUGAUCCUUUACAGGUCUUGAAGAAAGAGUGUCUGGCUGCUCUGUGGAGACGGGACCAUAAGGGGUGAUGCCCAAGAGGAAUGGCUACCACCCAGGUGGAUGUGGCCUGGGUGGGGUGAGAGGUGCAGAUGGAGAGAGAUCCUACUUGUGGGAGGAGGGAAGGUCAACCUCGGGUGGAGAAUCCCCAGGGCCCUGGCAUCUCUGCCCUUUGAUAUGGAGCUAAGGGAACUCUGUAGGAGGCGGCAGUUUGGACCCAGCUGCUGCACAGGGUCCAGCCAACCAGACCAGACCGGAGGUCUCACACCACUGAGGAGGAGCCAGGAUCUUUAUGUGACUGCCAGAGACAUCAGGAGAAAGCCCACAGAAGCCGAAUCUCCAAACAGGCUGGUCCUAGCUGGCAUGGGGAAGCUGUUCAUGUUGUAUCCUGAGUGUUUUUCGAGAAAGCUUUGAUGAGAGAAAAAAGUCACACAGAAAGGUGCCCGCAUCACAAGUUUCCAGCUCCAUGGGUUUUUGCAAACUGAGCACACUCGUGGGCCAGCAGCGGGCCCCCAGCGAGGACGCCCUUCCUGCUGCUCCUGCCGCCCGCCCGAGGCACGGCAGGGGCUGUUUCUGGAAUGAUCUAGAAGACACAGAAGAAGUAACUGGCUUCACACAGGAAGUUCUGUGGCUAGGUGAACAAGCAGGACAAGGUGGGAUUUUACUUAUUUGUUUUUUAUUUUAAAAUUCGAACCAAGUAAACACAUUAAAAUACCUUCAAAUAUUAAAAUAAACAGAUUUUGAGAAUGACGUCAGAGCUGCCUCUGCAGGAGCAGCCAAGGCCUCCCCCUCUUUCUAGGCCACAGUGGUCUGGGCUCAACACCAGCCCGUCAGGUGAGAAGCAGAGAAGCCGCUGGGUGGGUGCAGGCCGCUCAGGGACCUGGCUCACUCUCCCGGCUUCGCAGCUUCAGGGGCUGGGUGGGGCUGUCACCCCAGGGGCCAGGUUCCAGGGCCCCAUUCGAGACGCACCCCACCACACGCACAGGCAAGCACACCUUCCGGGGUGUCAGCCGUAUGGAGCCUUAGGCUGCUUCCGAGCGGAGCCCAUGACCCUUGGUUCCUUUAGAAAAAGGAAUGAUUUUUCUUAUCCCAGGUGCCUCUUUCCUAAAGUGGAGCAGAGAGCGGUGCCCUCACCCAUGUUCCACGCAGCCUGGUAUUUGCUCACCAGACGGAGGCCGCCUCUGCAGCCGGCCCCGGGGAGCUCUGGAGGAAGGUCGUUGGGGCUGGUGCUUCCCACAGCGCGGAGCCCUGGCCUUGGGGUGCUAGGCAGAGGUGGGGGUGCCGUUCCAGGCUGCUGGCCUGGCUCUGAGUCAGCCCCAGGGAGGGGCAGGGAGGCGCCCAUGGCUCGGUAAGGGAGGCCCCACUCCAGGCCGUCACAUUCAGUGUAGCCUAAAGCUGCGACUUUAUGUAUUUUAAGUUCGGCCCAGAGGUUUUUCUGCACAUCCUGAACUAAAUGGAGCUGUACACAGACCGUGGCCCACCCUUGUGCCCGUCACCGAGAUUUGGCUGAUCAGGUGCAGAACCCUGUUAAAAUAAGGCAUACGUGGCUGUGGCCAACCUGGCUGUCCCUCACUUCCAUUUCCGUCUGUCCCUUUCCUUCCCUGUCCAUAAAGCUUCCUCCCCCAUGCAGCUGUGCUGGAGGCCUGAGAGCCCCUGGGCUGGGAAGGCUGCAGGAUGAUGGCUCAGUUAAACUCUGUGAAACUUAAUUUGCCUGAAGUUUCUCUUUGAUCAAGGACUUUGACUGUGGGGUCAGACACCCCAGACAGAGCCCUGGGGCCCCCGCACAGGCUCUUUCGGGUUGGGAAGGAGCUGGUGACCCUGGCCCAUCGUUCCGCCUGUGCCAGCUCCUCCCAGGGCCCCCAGGACAGGCUCUGUGGGUCAUUCUUUGUAACAUCAGGUUCCAGGUCCACCUGCUGCAGCUCCUGACUCCACAAGUCUGAGCCAUGGGGUUCCUGGUGUCCUAUAGGCGCCUUUAGUGACAGUUGGUGAGCCCCCUCUUGCCCACGGUCUCCCCGGUCCACACAGAGUGUGUCUGUUGUGCGUGGCGCCUGCAUGCGUGGCGGGCAACCUGGUGCCUGGUCCCCUGUACUCUGGGCCAGUCAGUGUGGAGUGUCAGGUGUUUUUCGUCCACACCCUUCUUCCUCCCCGCACUGCGAGUAUCUGGAUACAUUAGGGACCUCACUGCGGAAUUUGUCACAGGAGCUGCGGAGCUAUGAAUCAGGCACUUGAUCAAAGUGAAGUAAAUUCUGUUUAAAAUCAUAGCUUGCGGCCAUGGGCACUGCAGCCCACCCAGGCGCACUUCCAGGAGAAGCCCACACCUGACUGCUUUGUCUGUUUCUCUUCAGCAGCCAUGGAAAAGAGCUGUUUGCCUCCUGUGUUUUCUUUUCUUCUAGCUGCGAAAACGGGAGCCCAGGAUGUUCUUGAACAAGGUGGAAUCACCCCAAAUAAAAUGCCUCCUGCUGGUAAAACUCCGAGAACGCCCACUUCGCAUUUCCAGGCUCCGGGAUUGCCAUGCGUCUGCGAAUUCUACGACACAGCCAGUUCCCGCUGGGAGCUGAUCCAUUUUGUCUAAAGCACCAGCUUUUUUGAGCAACAAGCUAAAACCAAGGUUUUUCAGAUGGUUUGCCUCCCACAAAGGCAAAAUAACCCAUGGGGGAUCAUUUGACAGCUCCACACCUGGGCCCCGGGACAGGAAGAGGCAAGCCAGGCCUUCCUUCCACUGUGGCUUGUCUCCUGCCUUUCCCACCACAGACCUAACUCCAUUCAGUAUGUGCCAAGGCCCUGGCUUCAGCAUCCCUCACACCCCUCAGAGCCCAGCCCCACUCCGCUUCCCAGUCGCCAGGCUACCUGGAGCACAGAGCCUCUCCCCACCAAUUCUUCCCUUGAGACCGCAUCUUCUCCGAGGCUCUGGAGGGGCACACGCCCACCUCAACCUCCUCACUUGUUCACGUGCAACUGGAAGCUUGACGAGCGUGAUCAGCCAGAGAUCUGAAUCACCAGAAUGUCUGUCUGCAUUCUCUUUCAGGCUCUGCAAAAUGCUAAGCCUUCAACUGUUUUAAAGUUUAAAUCCUCUCACUGGUAAGUGAAUAAUUAUCCUAAAAAGUAGACUCUUCUGGAAGAAAGGUCACUAAAAGGGUUAUUUCCAUUAAAAAUACAUUUGUGUUUCUUGAGAUGUGUUAAGUGGCCUUUAUCAAGGUGCUUGUAAUAGAGGAGCACAUAAAGAUGAAUUUGUCUGGAGACGCAGCGUACUUCAAAGAUUUGUCACCAGGUAAUUAAAAAUACAUAAACCAUGCUAACAUUUCCAUAUAUAUAUGGAGAACAUUAACUCUCCUGCUAUUGAAUUAAAAAAUGCCAGAUUUUGUAAUUAUACUAUAUUGAGUUAUACUAUAUUGAAAAGUGCCAAUUACUCACUUUUAAAUUUGACAAUGUAUGUGACAAAUUAUAAAUUUAAUAGCCUACAUCUUUUCUCUUUUAUCAAAUUCGCAAAACUUAAACUUUGUUACUGGAGUUACAAGGCUGCUACUAAGAUGGAAAAAUACCCAUUUAGAAAAAUAUAAUGUAUAUAAUGGAAACAUCUGUUAAUUUAAACAUAUACAUUAUGCAAAUGAGCACAAUACUUUGUACUUUCAGGUCAGAGAGGAUAAAAAUAUGCAAGUUGUGUUGUGCCUAGAUUUGCAUCAUUUUAUAAUAACAAAGAAUUUAAAAGCUGUAAGAUUGUCUAGCCCUUCCAUUAAUGGGACAAAAAAUUAAGGAUAAGAAAAAUGAAGCAAUCAGUUAAAGAUAACAACGGCUGGGCUUCACCGUGUGACUCCCAGGCUAGUGCUGUUUCCACACCGCUUCUCCAGCGUGCGGACUGGGUCAGAUCUCAAGCAGAAGUCUUGACCAGCUGUGAGGCUGCCUGACAAAUGUCACCUAAGUUCUACACGACUUUUCAAGGACAUUGACGGUUGUCAGAACGAAAGUGGAGUCGCUUUUGUUGAAACCUGGAGGAGUGGAGCUGGGGAGGGCCUUGAGGGGGCCCUGCUGCAUGAAAGCCUGAUGACGAGAGCUAUCAUGGAAGACGCUGCAGACACCACAUCCCUGCGUGAGAGCCCCUGCGACCUCACACAGAAAGCACCGCUGUGAGGACAUCUGCCCGGCAGCCGCCUGAACAGCCCCACCCUGGUGCCACCCAAGGGUAAUUGUCUCCAAACCACUUACGUUUUCUUUAAAAACUCGUGUCUUCCUUGACCUCCCUGCGUGUACCCAGUGGCUCCAUGGUAGUGCUCCAUUUGCAAACACACUGUUUUCCUUGGAGCGUCUUCCUCCCUUCCUGUCUCCCUGCGUGUACCCAGUGACUCCAUGGCAGCGCUCAAUCGCAAACACACACAGUUUUCCUUGGAGCGUCUUCCUCCCUUCCUGUCUCCCUGCGUGUACCCAGUGACUCCAUGGCAGCGCUCAAUCGCAAACACACACUGUUUUCCUUGGAGCGUCUUCCUCUCUUCCUGCCUCUUGUUUAGGUCGGCAAUCCUAAAAGUCAGAUGACGAAGAACUGAGAAGAAAGUCCAAACCUGUUUUCAGGGUGAACAGUCUCUCAAUGCUGUGUCGUCUUGGAGUAGUGCUUGCUUUCACCUGGAUCUGGUGUCUUCUUUCCUGCUGUUAUUUUUAUUUCUUAAUAUAUUUUCCAUCCUCUGUUGUUCUGUGUUCACCCUGUGGGUGCCAAAGUAACUGCUUUUUUGCAUUGUUGGAAUUUGCCACUUGAUAUUGGAAACAUUUUUAAAUCGAUGUGGUUAUGCUAUACAUCAUUUUAAUGAGCAUUUCCCACUUUACGUUUUUUUUCUAAUCACUUAUUACUUGAUGUUUAUUUCAGACUGUGGAAAUGAUGUUAGGAGAAAAGCACAUUUGAGCAAUUUUCUUAUUCAGGUUCAAAGUGGGUCCUAAAGCCGCAGAGACAACGGGCAUCAUCGACAACACAACGGCCCAGGAGCUGCUAACGAAUGUACAUCGCAGCGGUGGUGCAAGGAGUCUUGCAAAAAAGACGAGAGCCUUGAAGACGAAGCUGACGACACGAGCAGAGAGCCAUCAUCAGGCAGAUUCUCUGACAGCCAAGGAACUCAACGCCGGCCGUUCUGUGCCUGUUCAGUGUGAAGCAAAUGGGAAAGGUGAGAAAGCUCGGUAAGUGAUUGCCUUACGAGCUGAGUGAAAAUUGAAAAAGAAAAUGUCGUUGUGAAGUGUCCUGUUCUCUCAUUCUGCACAACAAUGAACCGUUUCUCAAUCAGAUCCUGACGUGUGAUGAAAAGUGGAUUUUAUACAACAAGCAGCGAUGACCAGCUCAGUGGAGAAGAAGCUCCUCAGCACUUCCCAAAGCCAAACUUGCCCCAAAAACCAGUCCCGGUCCCCAUCUGGAGGUCUGCUGCCGUUCUGAAUCCCAGUGAAGCCGUUCCACCUGAGGAGUGUGCUCAGAAAAUCAGUGAGAUGCACCAAAAACUGCAGCGCCUGCAGCUGGCACUGGUCAACAGACAGGGCCCAGUUCUUCUCCACAACAAGCCGACCGCACGUCACACAAACCAGCGCUUCAAAAGUGGAACGAAUUGGGCUACAAGUUUUGCCUCAUCCACCAUAUUCACCUGACCGUCACCAACAGAUGACCACUUCUGCAAGCAUCUGGACAACUUUUUGCAGGGAAAACACUUCAACUCCCAGCAAGAUGCGGAAACUGCUUUCCAAGAGUUUGUCGAAUCCUGAAGCAAGGAUUUUUGUGCUACAGGAAUAAACAAACGUUUCUCAUUGGCAAAAAUGUGCUUGAUGUAAUCGUUCCUAUUUUGAUUAAUGAAAAUAUGCUGAAUGUAAUGGCUCCUAUUUUGAUUAAUGAAGAUGUGUUUGAACCUAAUUUUAAUGAUUUAAAAUUCACAGUCCAAAACCACAGUUACUUUUGCACCAAUCGAAUAUGUUCUGCUGUGUGUGCCAUCCACUUGACUAUAUUCAAUCACUUAUUUAUUUGUUUAUUAUACUUUAAAUUCUG